UACGGAGGGAGCUAGCGUUGUUCGGAAUUACUGGGCGUAAAGCGCGCGUAGGCGGCUUUGUAAGUUAGAGGUGAAAGCCCGGGGCUCAACCCCGGAAUUGCCUUUAAGACUGCAUCGCUUGAAUCCGGGAGAGGUGAGUGGAAUUCCGAGUGUAGAGGUGAAAUUCGUAAGAUAUUCGGAAGAACACCAGUGGCGAAGGCGGCUCACUGGACCGGCAUUGACGCUGAGGUGCGAAAGCGUGGGGAGGCAAACAGGA
RNAcentral lists this ribosomal RNA (256 nucleotides) under uncultured bacterium. RNAcentral describes it as "partial 16S ribosomal RNA". It matches the Rfam family "Bacterial small subunit ribosomal RNA", at positions 524 to 777 of the family's 1533-position model. The record is from RNAcentral.